Molecule: ribosomal RNA, 253 nt
Filed under: uncultured bacterium
Lineage: Bacteria
Description: partial 16S ribosomal RNA
Rfam family: Bacterial small subunit ribosomal RNA
Source: RNAcentral
UACGGAGGGUGCAAGCGUUGCUCGGAAUUACUGGGCGUAAAGCGCGUGUAGGCGGCCUUGUAUGUCUGAUGUGAAAGCCCCGGGCUCACCCCGGGAAGUGCAUUGGAAACUGCAAGGCUAGAGUCCCGGAGAGGGAGGUGGAAUUCCAGGUGUAGCGGUGAAAUGCGUAGAUAUCUGGAAGAACACCGGUGGCGAAGGCAGCCCCCUGGGUCAAGAUUGACGCUCAUGCACGAAAGCGUGGGGAGCAAACAGG